This 233-nucleotide ribosomal RNA is filed under the name uncultured bacterium. RNAcentral describes it as "partial 16S ribosomal RNA". It matches the Rfam family "Bacterial small subunit ribosomal RNA", at positions 118 to 350 of the family's 1533-position model. The record is from RNAcentral.
UGGGCAACCUGCCCCUCUCUCUGGGAUAACCCCCGGGAAACCGGAGCUAAUACCGGAUACUCCGGCUGGAUCGCAUGGUCCGGCCGGGAAAGGUCCGCCGGAGAGGGAUGGGCCCGCGGCCUAUCAGCUUGUUGGUGGGGUCAUGGCUCACCAAGGCGACGACGGGUAGCUGGUCUGAGAGGACGGCCAGCCACACUGGGACUGAGACACGGCCCAGACUCCUACGGGAGGCA